UACAUGUUCUCCAUUUUAUCG
Molecule: non-coding RNA, 21 nt
Filed under: Caenorhabditis elegans
Lineage: Eukaryota; Metazoa; Nematoda; Chromadorea; Rhabditida; Rhabditidae
Source: RNAcentral